GGCAGUGUGGUAUAGUGGUUUGUGUACUGGACUAUUACUCUGGAGACCAGGGUUCAAGUCCUUGCUUGGCCA
This 72-nucleotide transfer RNA is filed under the name Anolis carolinensis (green anole). It matches the Rfam family "tRNA". From Rfam's summary of the family: Transfer RNA (tRNA) molecules are approximately 80 nucleotides in length. Their secondary structure includes four short double-helical elements and three loops (D, anti-codon, and T loops). The record is from Rfam by way of RNAcentral. Lineage: Eukaryota; Metazoa; Chordata; Lepidosauria; Squamata; Anolidae.